UGUGAUAUAGUUUAAUUAAAACAUUAAUUUUCGGGGUUAAAGAUCUAUUAUUUAUUGGUAUAGUAUUACUA
Molecule: transfer RNA, 71 nt
Filed under: Halocynthia papillosa
Lineage: Eukaryota; Metazoa; Chordata; Ascidiacea; Stolidobranchia; Pyuridae
Description: transfer RNA-Arg
Source: RNAcentral